This 327-nucleotide ribosomal RNA is filed under the name uncultured eukaryote. Its description in RNAcentral is "partial 18S ribosomal RNA". It matches the Rfam family "Eukaryotic small subunit ribosomal RNA", at positions 1470 to 1796 of the family's 1831-position model. The record is from RNAcentral.
CCCUUCGAUGUUCUGGGCCGCACACGCGCUACACUGAAGGAGGCAGCGUGUACUCCUGGAUCGAAAGAUUUGGGUAACCCGCGAAUCUCCUUCGUGCUAGGGAUUGAGGUUUGCAAUUAUCCUUCAUGAACGAGGAAUUCCCAGUAAGUGCAAGUCAUAAGCUUGCGCUGACUACGUCCCUGCCCUUUGUACACACCGCCCGUCGCUACUACCGAUUGAAUGAUUUAGUGAGGACUUCGGACUGGGACCGAUGCGGCUUUCGGGCUGCGUCGGUAUUCUGGAAAGAUGUCCAAACUGUAUCAUUUAGAGGAAGUAAAANUCGUAACA